CCAGCCACACUGGAACUGAGACACGGUCCAGACACCUACGGGUGGCAGCAGUCGAGGAUUUUUCUCAAUGGGGGAAACCCUGAAGGAGCGACGCCGCGUGAGGGAUGAAGGUCUUCGGAUUGUAAACCUCUGUCAUCUGGGAACAAUGUGCUCACCUAAUACGUGCGCAAUUGAUAGUACCGGAAGAGGAAGCAGUGGCUAACUCUGUGCCAGCAGCCGCGGUAAUACAGAGACUGCAAGCGUUGUUCGGAUUCAU
This 256-nucleotide ribosomal RNA is filed under the name uncultured bacterium. RNAcentral describes it as "partial 16S ribosomal RNA". It matches the Rfam family "Bacterial small subunit ribosomal RNA", at positions 304 to 554 of the family's 1533-position model. The record is from RNAcentral.